RNAcentral lists this microRNA precursor (151 nucleotides) under Gossypium hirsutum (cotton). RNAcentral's name for it is "MIR7502 microRNA precursor family". It matches the Rfam family "MIR7502 microRNA precursor family". Lineage: Eukaryota; Viridiplantae; Streptophyta; Magnoliopsida; Malvales; Malvaceae. The record is from Rfam by way of RNAcentral.
UGUUAAAAGUUUCAUCUAUUUCUACUGUUGAAAAAUGACAUAGUUGACAAAAUAAUCAAACAGCGACAAGUGGUGUGCCAUACGUACCUCAUGCUAACACUAACGUACAUAAACCAAUUUUUAACAAUUAAAAUGGAUGUAAUUUUUAACA